RNAcentral lists this ribosomal RNA (253 nucleotides) under uncultured bacterium. RNAcentral's name for it is "partial 16S ribosomal RNA". It matches the Rfam family "Bacterial small subunit ribosomal RNA", at positions 524 to 776 of the family's 1533-position model. The record is from RNAcentral.
UACGUAGGUGGCAAGCGUUAUCCGGAUUUAUUGGGCGUAAAGGGAACGCAGGCGGUCUUUUAAGUCUGAUGUGAAAGCCUUCGGCUUAACCGGAGUAGUGCAUUGGAAACUGGGAGACUUGAGUGCAGAAGAGGAGAGUGGAACUCCAUGUGUAGCGGUGAAAUGCGUAGAUAUAUGGAAGAACACCAGUGGCGAAAGCGGCUCUCUGGUCUGUAACUGACGUUGAGGCUCGAAAGCGUGGGGAGCGAACAGG